RNAcentral lists this ribosomal RNA (464 nucleotides) under uncultured bacterium. RNAcentral's name for it is "partial 16S ribosomal RNA". It matches the Rfam family "Bacterial small subunit ribosomal RNA", at positions 338 to 795 of the family's 1533-position model. The record is from RNAcentral.
CCUACGAGAGUCUGCAGUAGGGAAUUUUCGUCAAUGGGCGCAAGCCUGAACGAGCAAUGCCGCGUGAACGAGGAAGGUCUUCGGAUCGUAAAGUUCUGUUGAAGGGGAAAAAGAGCGGAGAGAGGAAAUGGUCUCCGCUUGAUAUUACCCUUCGAGGAAGUCACGGCUAACUACGUGCCAGCAGCUGCGGUAAUACGUAGGUGGCGAGCGUUAUCCGGAAUGAUUGGGCGUAAAGGGUGCGUAGGCGGCCUGCUAAGUCUGGAGUGAAAGGUACGGGCUAAACCGGUAUAGGCUCUGGAAACUGGCGGGCUAGAGAGCAGGAGAGGGCGGUGGAACUCCAUGUGUAGCGGUAAAAUGCGGAGAUAUAUGGAAGAACACCAGUGGCGAAGGCGGCCGCCUGGCCUGUUACUGACGCUGAGGCACGAAAGCGUGGGGAGCAAAUAGGAUUAGAUACCCCUGUAGUC